RNAcentral lists this ribosomal RNA (2922 nucleotides) under Bacillus cereus. RNAcentral's name for it is "23S ribosomal RNA". It matches the Rfam family "Bacterial large subunit ribosomal RNA". RNAcentral also lists the same sequence under 5 other names. Lineage: Bacteria; Bacillati; Bacillota; Bacilli; Caryophanales; Bacillaceae. The record is from RNAcentral.
GGUUAAGUUAGAAAGGGCGCACGGUGGAUGCCUUGACACUAGGAGUCGAUGAAGGACGGGACUAACGCCGAUAUGCUUCGGGGAGCUGUAAGUAAGCUUUGAUCCGAAGAUUUCCGAAUGGGGAAACCCACCAUACGUAAUGGUAUGGUAUCCUUAUCUGAAUACAUAGGGUAAGGAAGACAGACCCAGGGAACUGAAACAUCUAAGUACCUGGAGGAAGAGAAAGCAAAUGCGAUUUCCUGAGUAGCGGCGAGCGAAACGGAACAUAGCCCAAACCAAGAGGCUUGCCUCUUGGGGUUGUAGGACAUUCUAUACGGAGUUACAAAGGAACGAGGUAGACGAAGCGACCUGGAAAGGUCCGUCGUAGAGGGUAACAACCCCGUAGUCGAAACUUCGUUCUCUCUUGAAUGUAUCCUGAGUACGGCGGAACACGUGAAAUUCCGUCGGAAUCUGGGAGGACCAUCUCCCAAGGCUAAAUACUCCCUAGUGAUCGAUAGUGAACCAGUACCGUGAGGGAAAGGUGAAAAGCACCCCGGAAGGGGAGUGAAAGAGAUCCUGAAACCGUGUGCCUACAAAUAGUCAGAGCCCGUUAACGGGUGAUGGCGUGCCUUUUGUAGAAUGAACCGGCGAGUUACGAUCCCGUGCGAGGUUAAGCUGAAGAGGCGGAGCCGCAGCGAAAGCGAGUCUGAAUAGGGCGUUUAGUACGUGGUCGUAGACCCGAAACCAGGUGAUCUACCCAUGUCCAGGGUGAAGUUCAGGUAACACUGAAUGGAGGCCCGAACCCACGCACGUUGAAAAGUGCGGGGAUGAGGUGUGGGUAGCGGAGAAAUUCCAAUCGAACCUGGAGAUAGCUGGUUCUCCCCGAAAUAGCUUUAGGGCUAGCCUUAAGUGUAAGAGUCUUGGAGGUAGAGCACUGAUUGGACUAGGGGUCCUCAUCGGAUUACCGAAUUCAGUCAAACUCCGAAUGCCAAUGACUUAUCCUUAGGAGUCAGACUGCGAGUGAUAAGAUCCGUAGUCAAAAGGGAAACAGCCCAGACCGCCAGCUAAGGUCCCAAAGUGUGUAUUAAGUGGAAAAGGAUGUGGAGUUGCUUAGACAACUAGGAUGUUGGCUUAGAAGCAGCCACCAUUUAAAGAGUGCGUAAUAGCUCACUAGUCGAGUGACUCUGCGCCGAAAAUGUACCGGGGCUAAAUACACCACCGAAGCUGCGGAUUGAUACCAAUGGUAUCAGUGGUAGGGGAGCGUUCUAAGGACAGUGAAGUCAGACCGGAAGGACUGGUGGAGUGCUUAGAAGUGAGAAUGCCGGUAUGAGUAGCGAAAGACGGGUGAGAAUCCCGUCCACCGAAUGCCUAAGGUUUCCUGAGGAAGGCUCGUCCGCUCAGGGUUAGUCAGGACCUAAGCCGAGGCCGACAGGCGUAGGCGAUGGACAACAGGUUGAUAUUCCUGUACCACCUCUUUAUCGUUUGAGCAAUGGAGGGACGCAGAAGGAUAGAAGAAGCGUGCGAUUGGUUGUGCACGUCCAAGCAGUUAGGCUGAUAAGUAGGCAAAUCCGCUUAUCAUAAAGGCUGAGCUGUGAUGGGGAAGCUCCUUAUGGAGCGAAGUCUUUGAUUCCCCGCUGCCAAGAAAAGCUUCUAGCGAGAUAAAAGGUGCCUGUACCGCAAACCGACACAGGUAGGCGAGGAGAGAAUCCUAAGGUGUGCGAGAGAACUCUGGUUAAGGAACUCGGCAAAAUGACCCCGUAACUUCGGGAGAAGGGGUGCUUUCUUAACGGAAAGCCGCAGUGAAUAGGCCCAAGCGACUGUUUAGCAAAAACACAGCUCUCUGCGAAGCCGUAAGGCGAAGUAUAGGGGGUGACACCUGCCCGGUGCUGGAAGGUUAAGGAGAGGGGUUAGCGUAAGCGAAGCUCUGAACUGAAGCCCCAGUAAACGGCGGCCGUAACUAUAACGGUCCUAAGGUAGCGAAAUUCCUUGUCGGGUAAGUUCCGACCCGCACGAAAGGUGUAACGAUUUGGGCACUGUCUCAACCAGAGACUCGGUGAAAUUAUAGUACCUGUGAAGAUGCAGGUUACCCGCGACAGGACGGAAAGACCCCGUGGAGCUUUACUGUAGCCUGAUAUUGAAUUUUGGUACAGUUUGUACAGGAUAGGCGGGAGCCAUUGAAACCGGAGCGCUAGCUUCGGUGGAGGCGCUGGUGGGAUACCGCCCUGACUGUAUUGAAAUUCUAACCUACGGGUCUUAUCGACCCGGGAGACAGUGUCAGGUGGGCAGUUUGACUGGGGCGGUCGCCUCCUAAAGUGUAACGGAGGCGCCCAAAGGUUCCCUCAGAAUGGUUGGAAAUCAUUCGUAGAGUGCAAAGGCAUAAGGGAGCUUGACUGCGAGACCUACAAGUCGAGCAGGGACGAAAGUCGGGCUUAGUGAUCCGGUGGUUCCGCAUGGAAGGGCCAUCGCUCAACGGAUAAAAGCUACCCCGGGGAUAACAGGCUUAUCUCCCCCAAGAGUCCACAUCGACGGGGAGGUUUGGCACCUCGAUGUCGGCUCAUCGCAUCCUGGGGCUGUAGUCGGUCCCAAGGGUUGGGCUGUUCGCCCAUUAAAGCGGUACGCGAGCUGGGUUCAGAACGUCGUGAGACAGUUCGGUCCCUAUCCGUCGUGGGCGUAGGAAAUUUGAGAGGAGCUGUCCUUAGUACGAGAGGACCGGGAUGGACGCACCGCUGGUGUACCAGUUGUUCUGCCAAGGGCAUAGCUGGGUAGCUAUGUGCGGAAGGGAUAAGUGCUGAAAGCAUCUAAGCAUGAAGCCCCCCUCAAGAUGAGAUUUCCCAUAGCGUAAGCUAGUAAGAUCCCUGAAAGAUGAUCAGGUUGAUAGGUUCGAGGUGGAAGCAUGGUGACAUGUGGAGCUGACGAAUACUAAUAGAUCGAGGACUUAACCAU